This 85-nucleotide unclassified non-coding RNA is filed under the name Pseudomonas migulae. The record is from RNAcentral. Lineage: Bacteria; Pseudomonadati; Pseudomonadota; Gammaproteobacteria; Pseudomonadales; Pseudomonadaceae.
GUAGGAGCCGGCUUGCUGGCGAUAGGAUCGGCGCGGUCUGCCUGACAAACCGCGUCGUUCAUAUCGCCAGCAAGCCGGCUCCUAC